This 196-nucleotide ribosomal RNA is filed under the name uncultured crenarchaeote. RNAcentral describes it as "partial 16S ribosomal RNA". It matches the Rfam family "Archaeal small subunit ribosomal RNA", at positions 476 to 672 of the family's 1478-position model. The record is from RNAcentral. Lineage: Archaea; Thermoproteati; Thermoproteota.
CCAGCUCUCCGAGUGGUAGGGACGAUUAUUGGGCUUAAAGCGUCCGUAGCCGGCUUAGCAAGUCUCCUGUUAAAUUCAGCGACCUAAUCGUUGAAUCGCGGGAGAUACUACUAGGCUAGGAGGCGGGAGAGGUCGACGGUACUUCUGGGGUAGGGGUGAAAUCCUAUAAUCCCAGGAGGACCACCAGUGGCGAAGG